GCAAUGGCCUUCGAUUUCUCGUACUCUGUACAAAAGAAUUUCUCGUGAUGGACCUGUUUUUCAUCGGCAACAUACCCAUCGGUUGAGCCAAGCGCGAAAAAGGACGACGUAUAUAUAAUCUUCUCGAUUGUUUUCGUCUCUCUAACCGCUUGCAACACGUUCUCCAACCCUCGUACAUUAACAGAGAUGAAUUUCGAUGGAUCAGGAAGCCAUGGCUCGACCAUUGCGGCCGCGUGGAAGACGACAUGGCAGCCCGAGCAUGCCUCUAGAAGCGACUGGUAGUCGGUGAUAUCGCCAUGAACGAGCUCAAGAGCAGAAGGAUCAUGAGGAAGAGCAGAAAGGUCGCUGGUCGGACGGACCAAAGCCCGAACGGAGAAGCCUCGGUUCAAUAAUGCACGGC
Molecule: unclassified non-coding RNA, 400 nt
Filed under: Hevea brasiliensis (rubber tree)
Lineage: Eukaryota; Viridiplantae; Streptophyta; Magnoliopsida; Malpighiales; Euphorbiaceae
Source: RNAcentral